Long non-coding RNA from Perca fluviatilis (European perch), 1129 nucleotides. RefSeq lists it as uncharacterized. The transcript is spliced from 3 exons. NCBI's taxonomy places the organism in Eukaryota, Metazoa, Chordata, Actinopteri, Perciformes, Percidae. The record is from RefSeq and is a predicted model, not a curated record.
GGUGGAACUGAUAACUGUGUCAGUGGGGGUGCAGGCCCAGAGUUUUGCUGCUCUUUAACAAUGAAAAUGUACAACAGUGCUUUAAAAUGAAGGAUUCAUCUUUAGUGAGAGGAAACAAACAGACACAGGAAGUAAUUCCAUGGCCAACGGGUGAAUGAAGAUUCAUGGUGGGUCUACCAGAAGGGCCUUCUAUCUUUAGCCUUUUCUGCUGUUUUUGACAAUCAACCCCUGUCAUGAGUGCUUAUUCUUGACUCAAAAUUGGAGUCCAAAGGAACGGUAGAGGCUGAGUGGACGGGUCAUAUCAGACCGUGGAGGGUGAUGCUGAAUGCAAGGCUUGCAGGAUGCUGUAGAGACAGGUGUGUCUCACUUUCUGUGGAAAGACACUGCUAACCCAUUGAAAGAGUAACCACUGCAGCUUCAGGAUCAUAAGAAGCUAACAGCAUGGAUUUCAUUAAAGCGGAUCAUUUUCCUUCUAUGUCAAAUGGUCUGAUCAACCACAUGUGGCUCCUGGCUAAUAAGGUCGGUGGGAUGCGGCUGAAUAAUACCUGCAUAUCCCCAUAUUGGUCCCCAUUGUAGAUUGAGACGCAUAUCACCAAUGUGCUGUAUUCAUGUCCAAAGUAUGCUUCUAAAACCUGAAUAAUACUGGCAUAACACACAAGUCUUAAUAGGAAAAUGCUUAAUUCGGAAACCGGCCUUUUUCGGGAUAUCCGAACAGAAUAUGCUGUUUACAUGACCUGUAUCAAAUUCGGAAUAUUGUCAUAUUAGGAAUAAUAGGGGAAUAUUAAUGUGCAUGAACUCAUUGGUGCCCAUCUGAGUUUAGAUCAUAUAGGUGCAAGACAUGUCUCAGCAGCUACCAAGUAAAACUGGAAUCUAUCCAAGUAUUCUUUUCAGAGAAGCAACUCCUUUCAUACAACCCUCAAUAAGAGCAUGCUCAGGCUCGCUAACAGCGUCUCUUCUGAUUCCAUGCAUGUUUUAAAUUCUAACAGGUGAUUUAGAGUCCCUUCUUUUGCACACAACAGACUCAGUUUCUCUUUUAUAAAUCAGUCUGGAGUGUUAAGUGUUGUAAUGAUUCGUUGAUCUGUUUAAUUCAUCCUUUAAUCAUUUCUCGUAUUUCCUAGCUGCAUUUCAA